Molecule: ribosomal RNA, 32 nt
Filed under: Hesperocyparis stephensonii
Lineage: Eukaryota; Viridiplantae; Streptophyta; Pinopsida; Cupressales; Cupressaceae
Also listed under: 1 other name
Description: partial 26S rRNA
Source: RNAcentral
GCGUCCCCAAGUCAGGCGUGAAUACCCGCUGA